AGUGAUGGCAUGCGAAUCUCGAAAGCCUAUCUCAGUUCGGAUUGAGGCUGAAACCCGCCUCCAUGAAGUUGGAUUCGCUAGUAAUCGCGCAUCAGCCAUGGCGCGGUGAAUACGUUCCCGGGCCUUGUACACACCGCCCGUCAAGCCAUGGGAGCCGGGGGUGCCUGAAGUUCGUUACCGCAAGGAUCGACCUAGGGCAAAACUGGUGACUGGGGCUAAGUCGUAACAAGGUAGC
Molecule: ribosomal RNA, 235 nt
Filed under: uncultured bacterium
Lineage: Bacteria
Description: partial 16S ribosomal RNA
Rfam family: Bacterial small subunit ribosomal RNA
Source: RNAcentral